Molecule: ribosomal RNA, 427 nt
Filed under: uncultured bacterium
Lineage: Bacteria
Description: bacterial SSU rRNA
Rfam family: Bacterial small subunit ribosomal RNA
Source: RNAcentral
UGGGGAAUUUUGGACAAUGGGCGCAAGCCUGAUCCAGCAAUGCCGCGUGCAGGAUGAAGGCCUUCGGGUUGUAAACUGCUUUUGUACGGAGCGAAAAGGUCUGCCCUAAUACGGUGGGCUCAUGACGGUACCGUAAGAAUAAGCACCGGCUAACUACGUGCCAGCAGCCGCGGUAAUACGUAGGGUGCGAGCGUUAAUCGGAAUUACUGGGCGUAAAGCGCACGCAGGCGGUCUGUCAAGUCGGAUGUGAAAUCCCCGGGCUCAACCUGGGAACUGCAUUUGUGACUGCAUAGCUGGAGUGCGGCAGAGGGGGAUGGAAUUCCGCGUGUAGCAGUGAAAUGCGUAGAUAUGCGGAGGAACACCGAUGGCGAAGGCAAUCCCCUGGGCCUGCACUGACGCUCAUGCUCGAAAGCGUGGGGAGCAAACA